Molecule: ribosomal RNA, 542 nt
Filed under: uncultured bacterium
Lineage: Bacteria
Description: bacterial SSU rRNA
Rfam family: Bacterial small subunit ribosomal RNA
Source: RNAcentral
UGGCGGCGUGCUUAACACAUGCAAGUCGAACGAACCUUCGGGUUAGGGGCGGACGGGUGAGUAACGCGUGAGAAUCUGCCCUCAGGAGGGGGACAACAGCUGGAAACGGCUGCUAAUACCCCAUAUGCCGCGAGGUGAAAUGAAUUUCGCCUGAGGAUGAGCUCGCGUCUGAUUAGCUAGUUGGUGUAGGUAAUGGCUCACCAAGGCAUCGAUCAGUAGCUGGUCUGAGAGGAUGAUCAGCCACACUGGGACUGAGACACGGCCCAGACUCCUACGGGAGGCAGCAGUGGGGAAUUUUCCGCAAUGGGCGAAAGCCUGACGGAGCAACGCCGCGUGAGGGAUGAAGGCCUCUGGGCUGUAAACCUCUUAUCAAGGAAGAAGAUCUGACGGUACUUGAUGAAUAAGCCACGGCUAAUUCCGUGCCAGCAGCCGCGGUAAUACGGGAGUGGCAAGCGUUAUCCGGAAUUAUUGGGCGUAAAGCGUCCGCAGGCGGCCCUUCAAGUCUGCUGUUAAAAAGUGGAGCUUAACUCCAUCAUGGCAGU